UACGUAGGGGGGCAAGCGUUGUCCGGAAUUACUGGGCGUAAAGGGCGCGUAGGCGGAUAUUUAAGUUGGAUGUGAAAUCCCUGGGCUUAACCUAGGAACUGCAUCCAAAACUGGAUAUCUAGAGUGCAGUAGAGGGUAGUGGAAUUUCCGGUGUAGCGGUGAAAUGCGUAGAUAUCGGAAGGAACACCAGUGGCGAAGGCGGCUACCUGGACUGACACUGACGCUGAGGCGCGAGAGCGUGGGGAGCAAACAGG
RNAcentral lists this ribosomal RNA (254 nucleotides) under uncultured bacterium. RNAcentral describes it as "partial 16S ribosomal RNA". It matches the Rfam family "Bacterial small subunit ribosomal RNA", at positions 524 to 776 of the family's 1533-position model. The record is from RNAcentral.